This 999-nucleotide ribosomal RNA is filed under the name Triticum aestivum (bread wheat). RNAcentral describes it as "partial small subunit ribosomal RNA". The record is from RNAcentral. Lineage: Eukaryota; Viridiplantae; Streptophyta; Magnoliopsida; Poales; Poaceae.
AUGUACAGGACGGAACAGGAGAAACUAUCGCAAGUAAAGGUUGUAGUAAAGGUGAAACCCAAGCAGGACGAACUAGGUAUAAACUGGAGUCAGAUCAAGAACAAGAUUUUUCGUAGAGAAGGAAGGGAAAUAUGUUCGGAACAUGUGAACCACCAGACGCAUCCCAUCACUGAAGUCAGAAGACAUCAUAGGCUUGAUUCUGACGAGGCGAACCAUCUUGAUGCAUAUUCGGAAUCUAGAUCGGUGAUUGGAGAUGGGGAGUGUUUCUACAGGAGCUUCAUAUUUUCGUACCUUGAGCAAGUUAUUGAUAGGCAGGACACAAAUGAGGAAAACCGUCUCCUUCAUGUUGUUGAAAGAAUGUCUAUGCGACAUGGAAAUCUUCAAUGGAACUCUGAGUUUUGCAGGAGCAGCAAAGCAUUUAGGAAUCUGAUCAAGAAAAUAAUGAGAUGGAAGAGACAUGGCAGAGAAUCAACUAGCAGCCGCUGUAAAGAGAAACUUCUCGAGUUCUUCAGCGAGUAUGAUACGACACUAGACAUUUUCAUUUUCCUCAGAUUAGUAGUAGCUAUCCAGAUGUGCUCGCACAGGGAGGUGUAUGAACCGCUUAUACCAGGGCUCAGAGGAAAUUACAAUCUGGAAGAUUGGUGCUUUUGGCGCGUCGCUCCAGCUCGUCGGUCUACGGAUCAUGUUAUGAUGGUGGCCUUGGCCAGAGCGCUUGAGGUCCCCCUCAGAGUGGAGCGAGUCCGAGGAGGAUAUGAUCCAGAUAUCUACACUGGUCCUGGAGUUCCCCGUCCGAGAGUGACCCUGCUGUACUCGGCAAAUCACUACGAAAUCAUCUACUCGCGUGCUCCUUCUGCUGAGAGUUCAAGUCAUCAGGCUUCCCAGAGAGAACAUGCUGCUGAUCAGGGUUCAAGUCAACAGACUACCCAGAGAAAACAUCCUGCUGAUCAGAGUUCAAGUCACCAGGCUUCCCAGAGAGGAGAUCAUGCUGAUCAGAGUUGA